RNAcentral lists this ribosomal RNA (497 nucleotides) under uncultured bacterium. RNAcentral's name for it is "partial 16S ribosomal RNA". It matches the Rfam family "Bacterial small subunit ribosomal RNA", at positions 28 to 507 of the family's 1533-position model. The record is from RNAcentral.
GAUGAACGCUGGCGGCGUGCCUAAUACAUGCAAGUCGAGCGAACGGACGAGAGGCUUGCUUCUCUGAUGUUAGCGGCGAACGGGUGAGUAACACGUGGAUAACCUACCUAUAAGACUGGGAUAACUUCGGGAAACCGGAGCUAAUCCCGGAUGAUAUUUUGAACCGCAUGGUUCAAAAGUGAAAGACGGUCUUGCUGUCACUUAUAGAUGGAUCCGUGCUGCAUUAGCUAGUUGGUAAGGUAACGGCUUACCAAGGCAACGAUGCAUCGCCGACCUGAGAGGGUGAUCGGCCACACUGGAACUGAGACACGGUCCAGACUCCUACGGGAGGCAGCAGUAGGGAAUCUUCCGCAAUGGGCGAAAGCCUGACGGAGCAACGCCGCGUGAGUGAUGAAGGUCUUCGGAUCGUAAAACUCUGUUAUUAGGGAAGAACAUAUGUGUAAGUAACUGUGCACAUCUUGACGGUACCUAAUCAGAAAGCCACGGCUAACUACGUG